This 69-nucleotide transfer RNA is filed under the name Camelus dromedarius (Arabian camel). It matches the Rfam family "tRNA". Rfam says of the family: Transfer RNA (tRNA) molecules are approximately 80 nucleotides in length. Lineage: Eukaryota; Metazoa; Chordata; Mammalia; Artiodactyla; Camelidae. The record is from Rfam by way of RNAcentral. RNAcentral also lists the same sequence under 1 other name.
GAGAGGAUAGCUCAGUGGUAGAGCACAUGCUUAGCAUGCAUGACAUCCUGUCCCCUUCAGGUACCUUCA